RNAcentral lists this ribosomal RNA (228 nucleotides) under uncultured bacterium. RNAcentral's name for it is "partial 16S ribosomal RNA". It matches the Rfam family "Bacterial small subunit ribosomal RNA", at positions 103 to 334 of the family's 1533-position model. The record is from RNAcentral.
CGGGUGAGUAAUGUCUGGGAAACUGCCUGAUGGAGGGGGAUAACUGCUGGAAACGGUAGCUGAUACCGCGUAACGUCGCAAGACCAAAGAGGGGGACCUUCGGGCCUCUUGCCAUCGGAUGUGCCCAGAUGGGAUUAGCUAGUAGGUGGGGUAACGGCUCACCUAGGCGACGAUCCCUAGCUGGUCUGAGAGGAUGGCCAGCCACACUGGAACUGAGACACGGUCCAG